ACCGGUUCUUCAAAUAAUCAAUGUCAAUAAAUCACAUAAUCCAUUAGCAAAAUAAAUGCAAAUUAAACUCAAUCACUGAGUGCAUUUAACCAUAAUUUACAACAUAAUGUAAUAAUCACCUCAGUAGAUAUUUCGCAUCUCGUGGAGAGCUUAGCUGAGCUGAGCACCCUGCUCAACACAGACAACGUCUUCUGGCAACAGCAUACAGCAGACAAUCAGAAGGACAACAGCUCACCCCUUUUAUACCCCAUGGCCCCUCCCACUAGACAGGCUCAAUCAACAUGGGGAUUAUAAUACUGUGGUAUUUUGCAACUCAACCAUGAAUAAACUCAUCAAAUAUACAGCAUGCAUGUUAAAGUUCAUUUUGUCUUUUAGAUCAGUGAUUUUCACUAGUGCAUUUAGGCUUGUCGCUCAUUAAUGUCCAAUGUCAAUGUUCAGUGUCCUCCUUUGACACAAGGGAAAAAUGGUUUUGCCCAAUUUGGGCCAAUCAGUGCCAGCAGGUGUAUCCUGACACCAUAUUUAAACCCCUCAGCCCCUCCCUGACUCUUUUAGUCUGCAGUAAUGGUGGAUUUAAUGAUUUGUUCGCCACGAAGAGUCGUUCGCGAAUCGUUCGUUCGUUUGUUCGUUCAGUCGAGUUUCCGGUAGCACUAACUCCACUGAGUCUGACUGUCUCAGCUGAGAACCGUGCAAUGGGGUCCAUUCCAUGAUGCGAGUUAUCGCUACCGGAAACCAGGCUGAACGAACAUACGAUUCGUGAACGACUCCUCCCAGUCGAGAUCAUGGAAUGCACGCCAUUGCACGGUUCUCAGCUGAGUCAGUCAGACUCAGUGGAGUUAGUGCUACCGGAAACUCGUUCAUUCGUUCAGUCGAGUUUCCGGUGAAUCGAAUGGUGAACGAGACGACCGAACGAACGAGAGAGACGAACCGGUUCGCGAACGAACGAGCCAACACUAGUCUGCAGUACCGAGCCAUGGUGAGAGGGAGAGAUUGUUUGUGAGUGUAUGUUACUUGAAUAAAGAGCUUGUGUAUGUAUAUUGUAUGCUUGAAGGUUUGCUGUUCAUGCAUUAUCCAUCAAUGCGCGCUAUUGAUGGGCAGUUAAACAGACAGGGACAGUGGUCAAACUGUCACAGCGUAUGUGUGUGUGUGCGUGUGUU
RNAcentral lists this long non-coding RNA (1154 nucleotides) under Gadus morhua (Atlantic cod). Its description in RNAcentral is "lncRNA (ENSGMOG00000027712.1)". The record is from RNAcentral. Lineage: Eukaryota; Metazoa; Chordata; Actinopteri; Gadiformes; Gadidae.